RNAcentral lists this transfer RNA (71 nucleotides) under Pseudomonadota bacterium. Its description in RNAcentral is "Proteobacteria bacterium (activated sludge metagenome) tRNA-Arg". It matches the Rfam family "tRNA". From Rfam's summary of the family: Transfer RNA (tRNA) molecules are approximately 80 nucleotides in length. Their secondary structure includes four short double-helical elements and three loops (D, anti-codon, and T loops). Further hydrogen bonds mediate the characteristic L-shaped molecular structure. tRNAs have two regions of fundamental functional importance: the anti-codon, which is responsible for specific mRNA codon recognition, and the 3' end, to which the tRNAs corresponding amino acid is attached (by aminoacyl-tRNA synthetases). tRNAs cope with the degeneracy of the genetic code in two manners: having more than one tRNA (with a specific anti-codon) for a particular amino acid; and 'wobble' base-pairing, i.e. permitting non-standard base-pairing at the 3rd anti-codon position. The record is from RNAcentral. Lineage: Bacteria; Pseudomonadati; Pseudomonadota.
GUUCUCGUGAUGUAGAGGUAACAUGACAGACUUCGAAUCUGUAAUCCGGGGUUCGAUUCCCCGCGGGAAUU